RNAcentral lists this ribosomal RNA (576 nucleotides) under Staphylococcus aureus. RNAcentral describes it as "partial 23S ribosomal RNA". It matches the Rfam family "Bacterial large subunit ribosomal RNA", at positions 1588 to 2165 of the family's 2925-position model. The record is from RNAcentral. Lineage: Bacteria; Bacillati; Bacillota; Bacilli; Caryophanales; Staphylococcaceae.
GAGUCGUUGAUUUCACACUGCCGAGAAAAGCCUCUAGAUAGAAAAUAGGUGCCCGUACCGCAAACCGACACAGGUAGUCAAGAUGAGAAUUCUAAGGUGAGCGAGCGAACUCUCGUUAAGGAACUCGGCAAAAUGACCCCGUAACUUCGGGAGAAGGGGUGCUCUUUAGGGUUAACGCCCAGAAGAGCCGCAGUGAAUAGGCCCAAGCGACUGUUUAUCAAAAACACAGGUCUCUGCUAAACCGUAAGGUGAUGUAUAGGGGCUGACGCCUGCCCGGUGCUGGAAGGUUAAGAGGAGUGGUUAGCUUCUGCGAAGCUACGAAUCGAAGCCCCAGUAAACGGCGGCCGUAACUAUAACGGUCCUAAGGUAGCGAAAUUCCUUGUCGGGUAAGUUCCGACCCGCACGAAAGGCGUAACGAUUUGGGCACUGUCUCAACGAGAGACUCGGUGAAAUCAUAGUACCUGUGAAGAUGCAGGUUACCCGCGACAGGACGGAAAGACCCCGUGGAGCUUUACUGUAGCCUGAUAUUGAAAUUCGGCACAGCUUGUACAGGAUAGGUAGGAGCCUUUGAAACGU